Molecule: ribosomal RNA, 207 nt
Filed under: Pantoea agglomerans
Lineage: Bacteria; Pseudomonadati; Pseudomonadota; Gammaproteobacteria; Enterobacterales; Erwiniaceae
Description: partial 16S ribosomal RNA
Rfam family: Bacterial small subunit ribosomal RNA
Source: RNAcentral
ACUUAAAUUGAAGAGUUUGAUCAUGGCUCAGAUUGAACGCUGGCGGCAGGCCUAACACAUGCAAGUCGGACGGUAGCACAGAGAGCUUGCUCUUGGGUGACGAGUGGCGGACGGGUGAGUAAUGUCUGGGGAUCUGCCCGAUAGAGGGGGAUAACCACUGGAAACGGUGGCUAAUACCGCAUAACGUCGCAAGACCAAAGAGGGGGA